GGACCCGCACAAGCGGUGGAACAUGUGGUUUAAUUCGAUGCAACGCGAAGAACCUUACCUGGGCUUGACAUGUUCACGAAAGUUUUGUGAAAACAAAACCCUCUACGAGCUUGCUCAAAGACGUGAUCACAGGUGAUGCAUGGCUGUCGUCAGCUCGUGUCGUGAGAUGUUGGGUUAAGUCCCGCAACGAGCGCAACCCCCUAUCCUUAGUUGCCAGCACAUUAUGGUGGGGACUCUAAGGAGACUGCCUAGGAUAACUAGGAGGAAGGUGGGGAUGAUGUCAAGUCAGUAUGUCCCUUAUGUCCAGGGCUACACACGUGUUACAAUGGUUAGUACAAAGGGUCGCAAAGCCGUAAGGUUGAGCCAAUCCCAAAAACUAACCUCAGUUCGGAUUGGAGUCUGCAACUCGACUCCAUGAAGUCGGAAUCGCUAGUAAUCGU
RNAcentral lists this ribosomal RNA (440 nucleotides) under uncultured bacterium. RNAcentral describes it as "bacterial SSU rRNA". It matches the Rfam family "Bacterial small subunit ribosomal RNA", at positions 917 to 1345 of the family's 1533-position model. The record is from RNAcentral.